UAUAUAUAAAAGUGUUAGAUGCACGUUAGUUUUUGAUACUAAAUGCGAUAGUUUGAUUCUAUCUUAUGUAA
Molecule: transfer RNA, 71 nt
Filed under: Celes akitanus
Lineage: Eukaryota; Metazoa; Arthropoda; Insecta; Orthoptera; Acrididae
Description: tRNA-Gln
Rfam family: tRNA
About the family: Transfer RNA (tRNA) molecules are approximately 80 nucleotides in length.
Source: RNAcentral